This 114-nucleotide unclassified non-coding RNA is filed under the name Epilithonimonas pallida. Its description in RNAcentral is "Flavo-1 RNA". The record is from RNAcentral. Lineage: Bacteria; Pseudomonadati; Bacteroidota; Flavobacteriia; Flavobacteriales; Weeksellaceae.
ACGCAAUAGGGAUUGCAGUGGAAAUCCUUUUGCUUUUCUUUCACAUAAGGAAAAGCAAAAGAUUGACUUCGUCGAACCACUUUGCUAGGUUUGCAACGGAAAGCCCGACCCGAG